RNAcentral lists this ribosomal RNA (765 nucleotides) under uncultured Streptococcus sp. RNAcentral's name for it is "bacterial SSU rRNA". It matches the Rfam family "Bacterial small subunit ribosomal RNA", at positions 28 to 776 of the family's 1533-position model. The record is from RNAcentral. Lineage: Bacteria; Bacillati; Bacillota; Bacilli; Lactobacillales; Streptococcaceae.
GACGAACGCUGGCGGCGUGCCUAAUACAUGCAAGUAGAACGCUGAAGAGAGGAGCUUGCUCUUCUUGGAUGAGUUGCGAACGGGUGAGUAACGCGUAGGUAACCUGCCUUGUAGCGGGGGAUAACUAUUGGAAACGAUAGCUAAUACCGCAUAACAAUGGAUGACACGUGUCAUUUAUUUGAAAGGGGCAAUUGCUCCACUACAAGAUGGACCUGCGUUGUAUUAGCUAGUAGGUGAGGUAACGGCUCACCUAGGCGACGAUACAUAGCCGACCUGAGAGGGUGAUCGGCCACACUGGGACUGAGACACGGCCCAGACUCCUACGGGAGGCAGCAGUAGGGAAUCUUCGGCAAUGGGGGCAACCCUGACCGAGCAACGCCGCGUGAGUGAAGAAGGUUUUCGGAUCGUAAAGCUCUGUUGUAAGUCAAGAACGAGUGUGAGAGUGGAAAAUUCACACUGUGACGGUAGCUUACCAGAAAGGGACGGCUAACUACGUGCCAGCAGCCGCGGUAAUACGUAGGUCCCGAGCGUUGUCCGGAUUUAUUGGGCGUAAAGCGAGCGCAGGCGGUUUGAUAAGUCUGAAGUUAAAGGCUGUGGCUCAACCAUAGUUCGCUUUGGAAACUGUCAAACUUGAGUGCAGAAGGGGAGAGUGGAAUUCCAUGUGUAGCGGUGAAAUGCGUAGAUAUAUGGAGGAACACCGGUGGCGAAAGCGGCUCUCUGGUCUGUAACUGACGCUGAGGCUCGAAAGCGUGGGGAGCGAACAGG